This is a long non-coding RNA of Labeo rohita (rohu), 1283 nucleotides long. RefSeq lists it as uncharacterized. The record is from RefSeq and is a predicted model, not a curated record. The transcript has 3 exons. NCBI's taxonomy places the organism in Eukaryota, Metazoa, Chordata, Actinopteri, Cypriniformes, Cyprinidae.
UUUCCAAAGUUGAACAUCACUUGUUAUGAUUUUGUUUUCAAAUCUGUGCUCAGUAUAACACAGAUGAACAGUCUGUAGGGGGCAGUGUUGAUCCAGCAAAGUAAACUCCUCCUGACAGGAUAAAUGUCUCUUUCUGUCUGACUGGAGUCUGAGAUCAGGUUUCAGUCAGUCAUUGCGUGUUGAAGGCGCUGUUUUGCACAGGAUGACUUCAGAGGAGCCCUGUGUGUGUGUUUCCGUGAUGUGGGACAGUAAAUCAUCGUUCAGACCCUCACGGACCUCCGGCGUCAAACCCCUCACGUGUUUCUGACGGUGAACUUCAGCAAUCUUCGUGUGAAUUGAAAGCGGAAGUUUAGCUUGGCGCCAUUAAUGCAGACAGUUGCAGCUAAUGCAUUUGGCUCACAGCUAAUGGACAUGGGCAGCAUUUCCAGAGAGAGCUGAGCGUGAUGCUCUGGAAUGCCGCAUCUGACCUUUGACCCUUGACCCACUUUAUUGAGAUCAUGUGAACAAGAGAGAAGGAAAAAUAAAGGAUAACACAAAGUCGUGGUGAAGAAAAUGAGGUCAGACAGAAGAUGAAGGAAACCCGAGUGAUUUCUGAACCGUUAACGGUCCAGCCGUUCUCAGUGGAGCAUCACAUGAUCGGAGGUGUGUGGAAGACAUGAGCGUCGCAACCUUCACCGCAUGUGUUGAAGCCACUGCGUGUCCUUCAUCUCCAGCCAAACUGUUUGCAACAAAAAUCAUCCCAUUCCUACUGAAGCCUGUUUCUGCCACAGGAUAUAAACGAAAGGAGAGAUGCGGCGACUGAACGAGGCGGUUUGCUUCCCAACAUCAGCGGCAGCUGGAAGAGCGAAGUCGAGUCUAGAGAGCAUAUUCAUCAUUCGCUCUCCCAACACAAAGACGGGCCUUGUCUUCGGCCCAACAGACUUCAGCGCUUCUCCUCUCCGCACGUCCCAUAGGAGAUUCACUUUCCAGAGCAUGGAAGGAGUGAAACAGGCACAGAAGAAUAACCUUUAGCAGCUGCUGGAGACACGAUGGGCGUCUCGCUGCUAAUGGAGUCAUUCGGGACUGAAACCGACUGAACUCCUGCCAGACGCCAAAGCAGAAAGAGAGUCACUCAGAAGCGAUUGCUAACUUCAUUCACUAGCAUGUUUUUUUUUUGGAUGAAUUGCAUGGAGUACCGUGUAAAUAAAUACAAAUUGCAAUAUAACAAAUUGCAAUGUAACAAUUUUUUAAACAAAUGAAUGACUAAAUUAAUGAAAUGUAACAAAUUUUUGAAAAUAAACAAA